RNAcentral lists this ribosomal RNA (253 nucleotides) under uncultured bacterium. Its description in RNAcentral is "partial 16S ribosomal RNA". It matches the Rfam family "Bacterial small subunit ribosomal RNA", at positions 524 to 776 of the family's 1533-position model. The record is from RNAcentral.
UACGUAGGGAGCAAGCGUUGUCCGGAUUUACUGGGUGUAAAGGGUGCGCAGGCGGGUUAGUAAGUCAGGGGUGAAAUCUCACGGCUCAACCGUGAAAUUGCCUUUGAUACUGCUAACCUUGAGUUCGGGAGAGGUCGAUGGAAUUCCAGGUGUAGCGGUGAAAUGCGUAGAUAUCUGGAAGAACACCAGUAGCGAAGGCGGUCGACUGGCCCGGUACUGACGCUGAGGUGCGAAAGCGUGGGGAGCAAACAGG